Molecule: ribosomal RNA, 1485 nt
Filed under: metagenome
Description: bacterial LSU rRNA
Rfam family: Bacterial large subunit ribosomal RNA
Source: RNAcentral
CAUAAGCGAUGGGGUGACGCAGGAGGGUAGCUCAGCCCAGGCGAUGGUUGUUCCUGGGGUAAGCAUGUAGCCCGCAUCAUAGGUAAAUCCGUGGUGCGUUAAGGGUGAGAUGUGAUGCCGAGCCAUUGUGGUGAAGUGAGUGAUCCCAUGCUGCCGAGAAAAGCCUCUAGCGAUGUGUGACGGCGGCCCGUACCCCAAACCGACUCAGGUGGUCAGGUAGAGAAUACUAAGGCGAUCGGGUGAACUGUGGUUAAGGAACUCGGCAAAUUGCCCCCGUAACUUCGGGAGAAGGGGGGCCAUGUCCGGUGAACGUCUUUACGGCGGGAGCUGGGGGUGGCCGCAGAUACCAGGGGGAAGCGACUGUUUACUAAAAACACAGGUCCGUGCGAAGUCGUAAGACGCUGUAUACGGACUGACGCCUGCCCGGUGCCGGAACGUUAAGAGGACCGGUCAACCUUUCGGGGUGAAGCUGAGAAUCUAAGCGCCGGUAAACGGCGGUGGUAACUAUAACCAUCCUAAGGUAGCGAAAUUCCUUGUCGGGUAAGUUCCGACCUGCACGAAUGGCGUAACGACUUCCCCACUGUCUCAACCACAGACCCGGCGAAAUUGCAGUACGAGUAAAGAUGCUCGUUUCGCGCAGCAGGGCGGAAAGACCCCGGGACCUUCACUACAGCUUGGCAUUGGCGUUUGGAGCGUCUUGUGUAGGAUAGGUGGGAGACUGUGAAACUCACACGCCAGUGUGGGUGGAGUCAUUGGUGAAAUACCACUCUGGUCGUUUCGAGCGUCUAACCCGCACCCGUGAAUCCGGGUGGGGGACAGUGCCUGGUGGGUAGUUUAACUGGGGCGGUUGCCUCCUAAAAGGUAACGGAGGCGCCCAAAGGUUCCCUCAGCCUGGUUGGUAAUCAGGUGGCGAGUGCAAGGGCACAAGGGAGCUUGACUGUGAGACGGACGUGUCGAGCAGAUGCGAAAGCAGGGCCUAGUGAUCCGGCGGUGGCAUGUGGAAGCGCCGUCGCUCAACGGCUAAAAGGUACCCCGGGGAUAACAGGCUGAUCUUCCCCAAGAGUCAUAUCGACGGGAUGGUUUGGCACCUCGAUGUCGGCUCGUCGCAUCCUGGGGCUGGAGUAGGUCCCAAGGGUUGGGCUGUUCGCCCAUUAAAGCGGCACGCGAGCUGGGUUUAGAACGUCGCGAGACAGUUCGGUCCCUAUCCGCUGCGCGCGCAGGAGAUUUGAGAGGGUCUGUCCCUAGUACGAGAGGACCGGGACGGACGAACCUCUGGUGUGCCAGUUGUCAUGCCAAUGGCACGGCUGGUUGGCUACGUUCGGACGAGAUAACCGCUGAAAGCAUCUAAGCGGGAAGCCUUCCUCAAGAUGAGAUCUCCCACCCCUUCGUGGGUGUAAGGCCCCCAGCUAGACCACUGGGUUGAUAGGCCAGAAAUGGAAGCACCGCAAGGUGUGGAGUUGACUGGUACUAAUAGGCCGAGCGGCU